Molecule: ribosomal RNA, 402 nt
Filed under: Microhyla ornata (ornate rice frog)
Lineage: Eukaryota; Metazoa; Chordata; Amphibia; Anura; Microhylidae
Description: partial 12S ribosomal RNA
Rfam family: Bacterial small subunit ribosomal RNA
Source: RNAcentral
UUUUUCAAAUACUGGGAUUAGACCCCACUAUGCCUAGCCGUAAAACAUUUACUUACACUUUUAACCGCCCGGGAAUUACGAGCCCAAGCUUAAAACCCAAAGGACUUGACGGUGUCCCACCCACCUAGAGGAGCCUGUUCUAUAAUCGAUUCCCCCCGAUCUACCUCACCAUUUCUAGCUUUUCAGCCUGUAUACCUCCGUCGUAAGCUUACCAUAUGAACGUCUCUCAGUGAGCUAAAAGAUUUCCUCGUAAAUACGUCAGGUCAAGGUGCAGCCCACGAAAUGGUAAGCAAUGGGCUACAAUUUCUACCAUAGAACAUAACGAAAGACUAUAUGCAACUUAGUCAUGAAGGCGGAUUUAGCAGUAAAAAGAAAGUAGAGAGUCUUUUAAUAGCGCUGACC